ACACACACACACACACACACACACUAAUGGGAUUGAAUUUGGAUCUGAAAUGGCUGCGAGCUGAAAUCAAAUGUUGUCUCACAGACUCAUGGCAGAAAACAAUAAGGUACUAACUUGAUGAGUCCUUCACUAUGCGUCGGUACCUUACAGAAUUACCCACCACAACAGGACCAAGCAGAGGAGGAAUACUGGCGAGGACUGGGGAACACAGCGGGUAAGGGAACCCGAGAGGCAGCCCCAAUAAUUUUUUUUGGGGGGGGCACAAGGGCUGUUUGACGGGGCGAGGAUGGAGCCACAGGCCAGCUCCCCGUACCCUGUUUAGGCUGAAACAGACUGGACAGGUCCCGUGCUUUGGGGU
RNAcentral lists this long non-coding RNA (358 nucleotides) under Salmo salar (Atlantic salmon). Its description in RNAcentral is "lncRNA (ENSSSAG00000113577.1)". The record is from RNAcentral. Lineage: Eukaryota; Metazoa; Chordata; Actinopteri; Salmoniformes; Salmonidae.